UGCGUAGGCGGGUCUUUAAGUCAGAGGUGAAAUCCUGGAGCUCAACUCCAGAACUGCCUUUGAUACUGAAGAUCUUGAGUUCGGGAGAGGUGAGUGGAACUGCGAGUGUAGAGGUGAAAUUCGUAGAUAUUCGCAAGAACACCAGUGGCGAAGGCGGCUCACUGGCCCGACUACUGACGCUGAGGCACGAAAGCUGGGGAGCAAACA
This 207-nucleotide ribosomal RNA is filed under the name uncultured bacterium. RNAcentral's name for it is "partial 16S ribosomal RNA". It matches the Rfam family "Bacterial small subunit ribosomal RNA", at positions 568 to 774 of the family's 1533-position model. The record is from RNAcentral.